AGGGAAGUGACAUCCCAUGGCCCCUCAUGCACCCUGUGGCCUCCCCAGCAUGACACAUUGGACUAGACCAGGCACAUGGAAGCAAAUUCCCAGAACUGAUUUGGAGCAUAAUGAGUCAGAGGGAGACAGUGGGGUUGACUCCAAAGACCCGGGAUGUAGGUGAUAACUCCACGAAGGUGACAUCUGCACUUGCAAGCAGCAGGUGACACUUUGAAGACUUUGAAGACCCAACCUCAAGAGAGUGGGUUGCCAUACCCUUGGGGCCCUAAGUCUCUUUUACCCUGCCUCCCUCCCUCUCCUAGCCUCCUUUCCUCCAGGCGCCCUGCACAUAGACCCUCUGAGCUGGGCGCAGACGCUGCUAGUAGUCAGGGCUCCAUGCUGCUCCGCCUCCCUCCC
This 396-nucleotide long non-coding RNA is filed under the name Cricetulus griseus (Chinese hamster). RNAcentral's name for it is "lncRNA (ENSCGRG00015029323.1)". Lineage: Eukaryota; Metazoa; Chordata; Mammalia; Rodentia; Cricetidae. The record is from RNAcentral.